UAGGGAAUAUUCCGCAAUGGGCGAAAGCCUGACGGAGCAACGCCGCGUGAGUGAUGAAGGCCUUCGGAUCGUAAAACCCUGUCGAGAGGGAAGAAAGAGCGGGCGCUAAUAUCGCCUACUUCUGACGGUACCUCUGGAGGAAGCCCCGGCUAACUCUGUGCCAGCAGCCGCGGUAAUACAGAGGGUGCAAGCGUUGCUCGGAAUUACUGGGCGUAAAGGGGAGGUAGGUGGUCCUGUGCGUCCAUGGUGAAAUCCCUGAGCUUAACUCAGGACGUGCCAUGGAUACGACAGGACUAGAGUCCUGGAGAGGGUGGUAGAAUUCCCGGUGUAGCGGUGAAAUGCGUAGAGAUCGGGAGGAAUACCAGAGGCGAAGGCGGCCACCUGGACAGGAACUGACACUCAACUCCGAAAGCGUGGGGAGCAAACAGGAUUAGAUACCCUUGUAGUCCCUGAGCGGGCUGGCAAGGCGCAU
Molecule: ribosomal RNA, 472 nt
Filed under: uncultured bacterium
Lineage: Bacteria
Description: bacterial SSU rRNA
Rfam family: Bacterial small subunit ribosomal RNA
Source: RNAcentral